This 72-nucleotide transfer RNA is filed under the name Marmota marmota marmota (Alpine marmot). It matches the Rfam family "tRNA". From Rfam's summary of the family: Transfer RNA (tRNA) molecules are approximately 80 nucleotides in length. Their secondary structure includes four short double-helical elements and three loops (D, anti-codon, and T loops). The record is from Rfam by way of RNAcentral. Lineage: Eukaryota; Metazoa; Chordata; Mammalia; Rodentia; Sciuridae. RNAcentral also lists the same sequence under 1 other name.
UAUGAUGUGGCUCAGUGGUAGAGCGCUCAUCUAGCAAGUGCAAGACCCUGGGUUCGAUUCUCAGCACCAUAU